GGCGAGGUAGCUCAGCGGUAGAGCAGGGAGCCCAAAAGGCUCCCCAGUCGCGUGGUUCGAAUCCCGCCCUCGCCA
RNAcentral lists this transfer RNA (75 nucleotides) under Thermoplasmata archaeon. RNAcentral's name for it is "tRNA-Phe". It matches the Rfam family "tRNA". Rfam says of the family: Transfer RNA (tRNA) molecules are approximately 80 nucleotides in length. Their secondary structure includes four short double-helical elements and three loops (D, anti-codon, and T loops). RNAcentral also lists the same sequence under 1 other name. Lineage: Archaea; Methanobacteriati; Thermoplasmatota; Thermoplasmata. The record is from RNAcentral.